Ruditapes philippinarum (Manila clam) is the source of this 10405-nucleotide long non-coding RNA. RefSeq lists it as uncharacterized. Lineage: Eukaryota; Metazoa; Mollusca; Bivalvia; Venerida; Veneridae. The transcript has 4 exons. The record is from RefSeq and is a predicted model, not a curated record.
UCAUUAAACCAACUUUAACCAACCUUAAAUCAGAACUAGUUUUUGUCGCACAUGAAUGUUAUUGAACACAGCUGAUCAGUGUUUAUUUACAAGUCUGCAAAGAUUGAGGUCAGCAAAAGAUAUUUCGCCUUCACUGUAUCUAAUGACAAUUUAUUGAUUAAGAAAUCACGAUGAAUAUGAAAACGCCUAAAUACCUACUUGACAGUGAUCCACUGUUGACUAAUGUGCCACAAGUUGAAGGUAACAUGGAGGUAACCAAUACUGAGUGGACAGUAGAGGAACUUGAAAGUGCUGAAAGACAGGUUGAACAAGUAUUAAUGGAGGAAGCUUUUAUUGAAGCUUGCUUUGAAGAAAUGCUGGAAGAGGAGGAGUCACAAUGGUACCAUUACACAGUAAUUCCUACACCGAUGACACAAUACACAACUACACAUUACACAACAUAUAUGCCCAACUUACAGUACACAACACAUACAUCAACUCUUCAGUUCCCUAUGCCGAUACCCCAGGGACAAAGUAUUGAUACAAAUAUCAACAGUGUACUUUAUCAAUGUAGUGAACAGUUUUCAAACGAACAGAAAUACUUGUUGACAAGUAAACUGAAUCCUGAGGCACCAGAGUUCAUUCCGCGCAGUGUGGCUUCAUAGCAUAAAUACUCCAGUGGUAUUGUUACUACGCGGGCUUUCAGCAAAGCUGUCUGUGUCUCUAAAAGAAUGAUGCCUCGUCACUCAAGUGCUAAAUUAGUAAUCACCAAAUACAUCCAAGUAUACAAAAAAAACUACAAAAAUAUUGGAAAAAAAAUCAUUUUUUUAGCUUAAAAAAAGGAUGGUUUAAACCGGAAGCAUCGGAUAUGUUAUAGUGAAAUCCAACAUUAUUUGUAUUGUGAUAUAAACAAAUGAUACGAUAUAGGUUCGUACAAGUUGACUACAAGACAAUCUUCUGCAAAGAUGUGAAAACUCACCAAGCGUCACCCUUCCACUACAGUUUUGGUUGCCAUGACUACAACAUAGUUGUCUUGAUAUGCUGGUAAAUUUAAAACAUAAAUUUUAUCAUCUACAUUAAGUACAUAUAUAACAAGGAUGACAUUAUACUAUGGUUUUCAUGUAAUCAAAACAGGCAUUGAUUGCAUGGUGAACAAAAUAUCAUGCAAAUUUAAAUAAGCAUAUAGAUGCCAUGUCUCAGGUUAAUUUUUUGUAAUAUUCAUUUACUGAUACAUGUUUUUAUGAUUGAAAUAUGUUAAUCAAGCCUGUCUGGUUCUGGCAUAUUCAGUUGUGUUAUUUCAUUUCAUACCUAAUAUUAUUGUCGCAUUUGGCGCCAUUGGCAAGCGACAGCGGGAACCCUGUAAUAUACUUAGUAAAGUUAGAUGAAGAACAAUAAAACCCAGAAUUUUGAGAUUUAAAACAUAUCAAAUGGCCUUUAAAAUCAAGAGUAUUAUGUUAGUUAUUAAACUUUUGUUUCAGUUUAUUUAUACCAUAUAAAGAUUCUGAUAAAACAGUUAAUUUAUUUUUUUUGUUACGCUGUAAUCUUUAGCCUGCCGGGUUUGGGUUGGUAUUAUCUACCCAAGUGACCAUUGCUGGCCCAGCCAUGGCAGCUUGCACAUCCAUGCCGCACAUGUUUUGAAAAUUUACUUAAAAAUAAUCAAUAGUUUAGUCCUGAUUGAAAGAUUGACGAGUCCAUAUAUAAUGAUAUUUAGGAUGGCGCAUAUAAGGAUUUAUAUUCUUUUUUUUUUCAAGACAAAUAGACGUUUGAAAGUGUAGGCUAAUUUAAGGCUGUAAAUGUAUUAAGUUUCUCUAGCAUAUGAGUACAGCAAUAAAUGUUCGCAUGUGUACAGGUGAUAAAAGAGAGAUAAAUCCUAAUAUUUCUUACCCAACAAUGUCACUUUUAUAAUUUGUUUGUGCUGUUUUUAUUAGAAAAGUGCCAUAAACCAUAAUAAGGUGACCUAUACAUCUCAAAAUUUAAGUCUGUCUUGUUAUUAUGAAAAACAUUUUCAUUUCCUAUGUCUGUGUAGCAGUACAGUGAUUUUUUUAAAAACAUUUUUUUUUUUGCAAUACAUUAAAUUGGAAAAUUUCAGUGUGGUAAAGUACCGUAAACAUUAGAAAAUCAAACAAUUUUAACAAAGCUAUUAACAAAAUAAUUUAAAUAUUUGCUUUCCCCCCAGAUAAUAAUUUAGUAUUUUAUAUAUAUAAAAGGUGUAUUUUAAAAACAAAAUUACAUUUAAUAGGUAUAAAAUAUAUUGGUUGGAAAAGAUGAAAUUUGGAGUUUUCAACAGAUAUAUGGUUUGGUAAAAAGCCUAUUUGACAUAAUUCUAUUCAGCCUUUGAAUUAGACACAUCAGACUCUGUAUGUAGCUAAUUGUGUUAAAAUGCUCAUAAAUUGGACAUAAUACAAGUAAUAAGUUACCUGGUUGUCAUGACAUCUGCAUUUAACUUUAAGGUUUUUUAUUGUGUGCACCAUUUUAUUACGGUAUUAGACAAUGUGUUGGUCCUAAUAUCAUUCCUUAAAUGCUUUCUGGUUUAAACAAAAAAUUAAAUAAAAAAGACAUAAAAAUGCUUUUAAAAAUACCAAAAAAAAAUUAUGAAAUAAUUGAUGUUGUAUUUAAAAAAAAAUUGUAUUGGAUAAAGAAAUGUAUUUAAACUUGUAUUUCUUAUUGAUUGUUUAAAAUCUACAGAUUUAUUUUGCUGAAUAUCUUUCUUCUUAUUUAACAGUGACUUUUUAUUCAAAGAAUAAUUAAUGUGAAUAAAAGCACAUUUUUGAAUGCAGUAUGGAAAUAAUUAAUAAAAUUGAGGACAGUAUGAAAUUAUAAGCUGUCAAAAUAGCUUUAAUAGAUCUGAAGAUUUUAAUGGGUAAACUAAUUUUUUUCUUUUCACAUAUUUACUUAUUAUUGUUGACUUGAAAAAAAAAUGAAAAAAAAAAAUAUUGCAAAAAAAAAAUUAAAAUAGACUGUUCUAAGGUUUUCAGCUAUGAAUGUUACAUGCCAUAGGUAAAAUUGUAUUUUCAGAGGUUUUUCAACUGUUGUACUAGUAUCUAAACAGUCAGUCAGUUAUUAUAACGUGUUACAUUGAGCUUAUAUACAUGUAUGUCAGUAUAUUUUUUCUCCACAUUUUGUUUAUUUUGCCCCAUUAAAGGCCUACUCUUUGCACCCCCCUUUUCCUCUUUAUUUUUAUGCCCUUCUCUAAGGGGAACUUUUUUUCUUGAUCAACUUUUUUCUUGGUCUACAUAUUUAUGUAUGAUCCUGGGGGCUUCAUACUUUAAAAUAACUUUCUUUUGAUGUAUUAAAUUUAAAAUGUGACGCUAGUCACGCUUGCCCUUUAUUAACAUUUACCUUUAAGGUCAAAUUAAAAAAAUAUGUAUAUAGAAAUUUGACAUUUUUUUUGCAUUUCAUUUCGAUGUACUCGAAUAUGGCAUUAACUCUUAAAGGAUCUUUGUCCUGAGGUCAGUUUGUCAAAAUUCAAGACGUUUCAGCAUAACUUAUUAUUUGAUAAACAUAGUUUUCAGACUAUUUAUUUUUUUUUUUAGCUCACCUGUCACAAAGUGACAGGGUGAGCUUUUGUGAUCGCUUUUCGUCCGGCGUCCGUCCGUCCGUCGUCCGUCCGUCGUCCGUCGUCCGUCCGUAAACUUUUGCUUUAAAUGACAUCUCCUCAUAAACCACUGAGCCAAUUUCAUCCAAACUUCACAGGAAUGUUCCUUUGGUGGUCACCUUUAAAAAUUGUUCAAAGAAUUUAAUUCCAUGCAGAACUCUGGUUGCCAUGGCAACCGAAAGAAAAAUCUUUAAAUAUCUUCUUUUAAACAACCCUAAGAGCUAGAGCUUAGAUAUUUGGCAUGAAACAUCUUCUAGUGAGUGUCUACCAAGUUUGUUCAAAUAAAAGCCCUGGGGUCAAAAUUGGCCCCGCCCCAGGGGGUCAUUGAUUUUCCCAAUAUGCAUAUAGUAAAAACUUAAAAAAUCUUCUUUUAAUGAACUGUAAGAGCUAGAGCUUAGAUAUUUGGCAUGAAACAUCUUCUAGUGAAUGUCUACCAAGUUUGUUCAAAUAAAAGCCCUGGGGUCAAAAUUGGCCCCGCCCCAGGGGGUCAUUGAUUUUCCCUAUAUGCAUAUAGUAAAAACUUAAAAAAUCUUCUUUUAAAGAACCGUAAGAGCUAGAGCUUAGAUAUUUGGCAUAAAACAUCUUCUAGUAAAUGUCUACCAAGUUUAUUCAAAUAAAAGCCCUGGGGUCUAAAUUGGCCCCGCCCCAGGGGGUCAUUGAUUUUCCCUAUAUGCAUAUUGUAAAAACUUAAAAAAUCUUCUUUUAAAGAACUGUAAGAGCUAGAGCUUAGAUAUUUGGCAUGAAACAUCUUCUAGUGAAUGUCUACCGAGUUUGUUCAAAUAAAAGCCCUGGGGUCCAAAUUGGCCCUGCCCCAGGGGGUCAUUGAUUUUCCCUAAAUGCAUAAAGUAAAAACAUAAAAAAUCUUCUUUUAAAGAACCCAAAGAGCUAGAGCUAAGAUAUUUGGCAUGAAACAUCUUCUAGUGAAUGUCUACCAAGUUUGUUCAAAUAAAAGCCCUGGGGUCAAAAUUGGCCCCGCCCCCGGGGUCAUUGAUUUUCCCUAUAUGCAUAUAGUAAAAACUUAAAAAAUCUUCUUUUAAAGAAUCGUAAGAGCUAGAGCUUAGAUAUUUGGCAUGAAACAUCUUCUAGUGAAUGUCUACCAAGUUUGUUCAAAUAAAAGCCCUGGCGUCAAAAUUAGCCCCGCCCCAGGGGGUCAUUGAUUUUCCUUAUAUGCAUAUAGUAAAAACUUAUUAAAUCUUCUUUUAAAGAACCCAAAGAGCUAGAGCUAAGAUAUUUAGCAUGAGACAUGUUCUAAUGGGUGUCUACCAAAUAUGUUCAAAUAAAAGCCCUGGGGUCAAAACUGGCCCCGCCCCGGGGGUCAUUGAUUUUCCUUAUAUACAUAGCAAAAACUUAAAAAUCUUCUUUGAAAAAACCCAAAUAACUAGAGUUUAGAAAUUAAGCAUGAAACAUCUUUAAGUAAAUACCUACAAAGUUUGUUCAAAUAAAAGCCCAGGGGUCAAAACUGGCCCUGCCCGAGGGGUGUCAUUGUUUUUAACUAUAUGUGUAUAGUAAAAACUUAAAAAAUCUUCUUUUAAAAAACCCAAUGAGCUAGAACUUAGAUGUUUUGCAUGAAACAUCUUCUUAUGGGUGUCUACCUGAAGUCUGUUCAAAUAAACAAAUAAAAGCCCUUGGGUAAAAAUUGGGGGGGGGGGGGGGCUAUAUACAGGUGAGCGACCUCAGGGCCAUCAUGGCCCUCUUGUUUUAAUAUAUCCUGUUUUAACAGCGAAAUGAAAAACUUUUAAAUGGUAAGUCAUUGUCAGAUACCCACCCUUCAUUGACUUGUAAUCAUGUUAAUUGUCAGGGCGUUGCUAUCCGACAAUGAUGUAGAGUAGGACUGGUGAUAAAAUACAAUUGAGCCGCGUCACGACAAAACCAACAUAAUGCGUUUGCAACCAGCACGGAUCCAGACCAGCCUGCGCAUCCACGCAGUCUAAUCAGGAUCCAUGCUGUUCUCUUACCAACUCUAUAACAAGUAGAGAAACUGAUAGCAAACAGCAUGGAUCCUGAUCAGACUGGUCCACUUUUGCGCAGGCUGGUCUGGAUCCAUGAUGGUCGCAAACACAUUACGUUGGUUUUGUCAUGACGGGGCUCAAUUAUUCAUGAUUUUUAUGCCACCGCAGCAUCUGCGAUGCGGUGGCAUAUAGCGAUUCACCUGUGUGUGUGUGUGUGUGUGUGUGUUUGUUUGUGUGUGUGUGUGUGUUAUAUAGAUUAUAUAGUGAACUUAAAAAAUCUUCUUGUGAAAAACCACUAGUCCAAUUUCAACCAAACUUGGCAGGAUUGAUCCUUGGGUGAAGUGGUUCCAAAGUUGUUCAAAGAAUUGCAUUCCAUGCAGAAAUCUGGUUGCCAUGGCAACCACAAGGAAUUAAAAGAAUAAAUUUAAAAAAUCUUCUUGUAAAGACCCAAAAGGCCUAGAGCUUAGAUAUUUUGCAUAAGGCAUUGUCUGGUACACCUCUACCAAGAUUGUUCAAAUUAUAGCCCUGGGGUCAAAAUCGGCCCCGCCCCGGGGGUCAUUGAUUUUCACUAUAUGUACAUAUAGUAAAACCUUAAAAUACCUUCUUGUAAAGACCCAAAAGGCCUAGAGCUUAGAUAUUUUGCAUAAGGCAUUGUCUGGUAGACCUCUACCAAGAUUGUUCAAAUGAUAGGCCUGGGGUCAAAAUUGGCCCGGCCCCAGGGGUCAUUGAUUUUCACUAAAUGUACAUAUAGUAAAAACUUAAAAUACCUUCUUGUAAAGACCCAAAAGGCAUAGAGCUUAGAUAUUUUGCAUAAGGCAUUGUCUGGUACACCUCUACCAAGAUUGUUCAAAUGAUAGCCCUAGGGUCAAAAUCAGCCUGCCCCGGGGGUCAUUGAUUUUCACUAUAUGUACAUAUAGUAAAAACUUAAAAUACCUUCUUGUAAAGACCCAAAAGGCCUAGAGCUUAGACAUUUUGCAUAAGGCAUUGUCUGGUAGACCUCUACCAAGAUUGUUCAAAUUAAAGCACUGGGGUCAAAAUCAGCCCCGCCCCGAGUGUCAUUGAUUUUCACUAUAGGUACAUAUUGUAAAAACUUAAAAUACCUUCUUGUAAAGACCCAAAAGGCCUAGGGCUUAGAUAUUUUGCAUAAGGCAUUGUCUGGUAGACCCUUACCAGGAUUGUUCAAAUUAUAGCCCUGGGGUCAAAAUCGGCCCCGCCCCGGGGGUCAUUGAUUUUCUCUAUAUGUACAUAUAUUCAAAACUUAAAAUACCUUCUUGUAAAGACCCAAAAGGCCUAGAGCUGAGAUAUUUUGCAUAAGGCAUUGUCUGGUAGACCUCUACCCAGAUUGUUCAAAUUAUAGCCCUGGGGUCAAAAUCGGCCCCGCCCGGUGGGGGGUCAUUGGUUUUCCUUAUAUGUAUAUAGUAAAAACUUAUAGUAAAACUUUAAAAAAAUUUCUUCUAGCAAUUGACAAAUGAUAGAGGUUAGAUAUUUUGCAUGAAACAUUGUGAAGUGAACUUCUAGCAAGAUUGUUCAAAUUAUAGCCCUGGGGUCAAAAUUGCCCCCGCCCCAGGGGUCAUUGAUUUUCAAUAUAUAUAUAUAGUAAAAAAUCUUAUUGUCUGAAGGUACAAGGCUUAGAGCUUUAAUAUUUGUUAAAUGACAUCAUCAAUAGGAACUCUACCAAAGUUGUUCAAAUUUUGCCUCUAGUGUCAAAAUUAGCCCCGCCCCGGGGGCCAUAGGUUUUCCUUAAAUGUAUAUAGUAAUAACUUAAAAAAUCAUCUUCUUUAAAUUUAGAAAGACUAGAGUUAAGAUAUUUGCAUGAAACAUUAUGUAGUGAACCUCUAGCAAGAUUGUACAAAUUAUAGCCCUGGGGUCAAAAUUGGCCCCACCCCCAGGGGUCAUUGAUUUUCACUAUGUACAUAUAGUAAAAAAUUAAAAAGUCCUCUUGUCUGACGGUACAAGGCUUAAAGCUUUGAUAUUUGGUAUAUACUAUCAUCUAUGGGUCCUCUACUAAAGUUGUUUUAAUUAUGCCCCUAGUAUUAAAAUUGCCUUGCCCCAGAGGCGAUAUUUUCCCUUAUAUGUAUAAAGUAAAAAAAUUGAAAAAUCUUCUUCUCUGAAUUGACAAAGGCUAGAGGUUAAAUAUAUGGCAUGAGACUUUGCGAAGUGAACCUUUACCAAGAUUGUUCAAAUUAUAGCCCUGGGGUCAAAAUUGGUUCCGCCCAGGGGGUCAUUGAUUUUCAUUAUGUACAUAUAGUAAAAAAAUAAAAAAUAUUUUUGUCUGAAGGUACAAGGCAUAGAGCUUUGAUGUUUGCUAUAUAAAAUCAUUUAUAGGUCCUCUACUAAAGUUGUUCAAAUUUUUCCCCUGGUGUCAAAAUUGGCCCUGCCCGGGGGCAGUGAUUCUCAUUAUGUACACAUAGUAAAAACAGAAAAUAAAACAAAAUAAUGUUUUCUGAAUGGGAGAAAGCUACAGCUUAGAUAUUUGACUUGAAAUGAUGUUUGGUGGACCUGUAUCAAGAUUGUUUUGAAUUAAACCCUUGGUCCAAAAUUUUGCCUUGCCCAAGGGGACAGUGACCUACUUUCUUGUCCUUUGAUGUACAGCAAUGAAAUUUUGACCAUGUGCACAGUUUUAGUUGUAAAAUUGAACUUUGAUAUCAGGUGACCUAGAUUUCGUUGAUGUGACCUUCUUUCUUGUCCUUUGAUGUACAGCUAUGAAAUUUGAACCAUGUGCACAGAUUAAGAUGUAAAGUGAACUUUUUUAUUCAGCUGACCUAGAUUUUGACAAAGUGUCUUACUGUGUUGUCCUUUUGAUGUAGUCAUGAAAUUUAGGCUGUGUGAAAUAUGACCUUCACCACCAAAUUCACUAGACUCAAGUGCAUUGAUAUAUUCCUACUUUGAUCUUUUUUUGAGUUAACAACAGAUUUAACCACAAAUCUGUUAAUAAGAAUAAGAUAGGUCAUGGAUCUAUGCUUUAUGACAAUCUUCAAAAUUGUAUAGAAACAAAAAAAAUCUGUUCCUACACUACUAUUUGGUGUUGUAUUAAUGUGGUGGCAUAGCAUUUUUCUCAAAUGCAAUCUUGUUCUUGAUUAAUUUUGAAUUUAUAUCAUGUUUGCAAGAUUUCAAUGUGGACUUCAUCAUUUUUGAACAAACUAUAUGUACUUGUAUCAAGCUAUAGGCAGUUGUGUUAUUAAAAUAUAGUAUUGAUUUAUGUACUGCAAUGUAGUUAAAUGUGUGAUCAAUAGAACAAUGUAACUUUUGACAAAUUGCUCAUUUUUGUAAGUGUUUUUUUUUUUUUCAUAUCAGAGAAUGGUAAUUAACUGGUCUUUUUAUUGAGGCCACCUUGGCAUGUGUCCAGUAUACAGAGGAAAAAAAAAAGAUUUUUAUAAUUUCUAAUCAGUUUUCAGAAAAUUUUGUUAAAUGUGAUAUUAUAUGGAAUUUCAAAGAAUAAUUGAAGCUAUUGACAUUACCUGCUUGACAGAAGCAACUUCAGCAGCUUAGGUAAACCUUUUGGUUAAAUUUUUUAUUUAAUGGCCAAUAACUUGAAAGCUAUUGCAUUGUGUGGCUGCACCUUGAUUUAUUCUACCUGUCACACCGAUUCAAAAAGUCAAAGGUCAAGGACACUGGGAACCAUGAAAACAGAACAUAAAAAUGAACAUUUAAUCAUAGUGCAUUGAAUUAGGAACUUCAAACUUGGUAUAUGGUUGCAUCUUGAUGAGUUAUAUCUGCUAUGCCCAUUUCAGGUCAAAGGUCAAGGUCACUAAGACAAAAUAAGACAUAAAACUUGCCAUUUAAUCAAUGCAUAUCAAUAACCGUCAUUGGCCAAAAACACUGGUACUUGUAAAAUUAAUCAAGAAAAAAUAUGACCAUACCAAUUUGUGGGCAAAAUGUCAAAGGUCAAGGUCAAUGACAUCUGAAUCAAAUUGUCAAAAAUGUGCAGUUUACUAUUAUCCAGCACUGAGAAAAGUGGAGCGAGCUGCUCCUUAGAUAGCUCUUGUUUUUGUUAUAUCAUAUUUAGAAUGUGUUACAUUCUUUCUCAUUUAUUGAUUACAACUGGGGAUUUUAAGUUGUGUGAUAUAAAUGCAUACAUUUUCUGCAUUUAUCUGUGUGGGAAAUUACACUUAUUCUCCAUGAAAGAGAUGCUAUUUACAUUCAACCCUUUACCUGCAGGGUCUGGUAGUAAAUAACCUUGCCACACGUAUAGAGCCUGACUUUUCUGCACAUCUGUGCAGUCUGUCAUUGCUCUAUACUGUAGGUAGCUCAAUUUUUAUAUGAUUUAUUUAAUUUUUAAUAUAACUCUGAUAUUUGAAAUCCUUGAAUUUUCUAAUGGACUAUUUAAAAUUCAAAUGCAGGACAGAUCUGGACUGUAUUUCAUAGAAAAUCCGAAGUGUAUCCUAAGUCCUAGAAGUUAUGACAAACUUAAGACUAACUUAAAGACCAUUUCAAUUAAUACAUUUAUCUUCAGUUAAAGUUUUAGACUUUUAUUUAAUUCAUUCUCCUGAGGAAAGUUACAAAAUACAAUGGCAUGCUCUUCACUUUGCAAUAUGUAAAUGUUUAUUUGCAUUGCUAUUCAAAAAUCGAAGACUCUUAACAUAAGAGUCAUAAGAAAUAACAAUUUUUUUAAAACGAAAAUUGUCUUAGUUUGGUCCUAAGACAUAUUUUAGACUCGGGACUUUCCAUGAAAUGCAACUCUGUUAUUCAUAGGGGGCAGGUUAAGGGUUAAUUCAGCUCAUCUGACAUGCACUUUUUUGUUGUUUUUUUACCUGAUUAAACCAUUGUGCUAUUUUCUGUAUAUUUUACUUGUAUGUUUCAAUAGAGAAUUAUUGAUAGAGAUUUUAUUAUUUACUUGUAUUUUUUUUGUGCAUGUUGAAAAAAUAAAAUAUAAAAAAUGAAA